This 90-nucleotide transfer RNA is filed under the name Candidatus Dojkabacteria bacterium. RNAcentral's name for it is "tRNA-Ser". It matches the Rfam family "tRNA". From Rfam's summary of the family: Transfer RNA (tRNA) molecules are approximately 80 nucleotides in length. The record is from RNAcentral.
GGAGAGUUGCCGGAGUGGUCGAACGGGACGCACUCGAAAUGCGUUGUAUGCGAAAGCGUACCGGGGGUUCGAAUCCCUCACUCUCCGCCA